This 472-nucleotide ribosomal RNA is filed under the name Staphylococcus aureus. RNAcentral's name for it is "bacterial SSU rRNA". It matches the Rfam family "Bacterial small subunit ribosomal RNA", at positions 38 to 492 of the family's 1533-position model. The record is from RNAcentral. Lineage: Bacteria; Bacillati; Bacillota; Bacilli; Caryophanales; Staphylococcaceae.
CGGCGGCGUGCCUAAUACAUGCAAGUCGAGCGAACGGACGAGAAGCUUGCUUCUCUGAUGUUAGCGGCGGACGGGUGAGUAACACGUGGAUAACCUACCUAUAAGACUGGGAUAACUUCGGGAAACCGGAGCUAAUACCGGAUAAUAUUUUGAACCGCAUGGUUCAAAAGUGAAAGACGGUCUUGCUGUCACUUAUAGAUGGAUCCGCGCUGCAUUAGCUAGUUGGUAAGGUAACGGCUUACCAAGGCAACGAUGCAUAGCCGACCUGAGAGGGUGAUCGGCCACACUGGAACUGAGACACGGUCCAGACUCCUACGGGAGGCAGCAGUAGGGAAUCUUCCGCAAUGGGCGAAAGCCUGACGGAGCAACGCCGCGUGAGUGAUGAAGGUCUUCGGAUCGUAAAACUCUGUUAUUAGGGAAGAACAUAUGUGUAAGUAACUGUGCACAUCUGACGGUACCUAAUCAGAAAGCC